GACGAACGCUGGCGGCGUGCUUAACACAUGCAAGUCGAACGGAAAGGCCUGCUUUCCCUUGUGGAUUGCGGGUACUCGAGUGGCGAACGGGUGAGUAACACGUGAGUGAUCUGCCCCCAACUUGGGUAUAAGCCUGGGAAACUGGGUCUAAUUCCCGAUAGGACUGCAGGGUGGUGCCUGUGGUGGAAAACGAUUUUCUAGUGGUUGGGGAUGAGCUCGCGGCCUAUCAGCUUGUUGGUGGGGUAAUGGCCUACCAAGGCGGCGACGGGUAGCCGGCCUGAGAGGGUGGACGGCAACAUUGGGACGGAGAUACGGCCCAGACUCCUACGGGAGGCAGCAGUGGGGAAUAGUGCACAAUGGGCGGAAGCCUGAUGCAGCGACGCCGCGUGGGGGAUGACGGCCUUCGGGUUGUAAACUCCUUUCGACCGCGAGGAAGCCACCUGGUUGGAAGGGUGGUGACGGUAGUGGUAGAAGAAGCACCGGCUAACUACGUG
RNAcentral lists this ribosomal RNA (494 nucleotides) under uncultured bacterium. RNAcentral's name for it is "partial 16S ribosomal RNA". It matches the Rfam family "Bacterial small subunit ribosomal RNA", at positions 28 to 507 of the family's 1533-position model. The record is from RNAcentral.